This is a non-coding RNA of Schizosaccharomyces pombe (fission yeast), 530 nucleotides long. NCBI's taxonomy places the organism in Eukaryota, Fungi, Ascomycota, Schizosaccharomycetes, Schizosaccharomycetales, Schizosaccharomycetaceae. The record is from the annotation of a GenBank genome assembly.
GAGCUGCCGGAAGUAUGUAUGUGGUGGACAAAUAAGUGAAGUCAUGUGUAACGGCCGCGUCAACCCUCCAUUCUAUUGUGCUAAGCUAAUGCCCAAGAUCUUAAAACUAACAUUAUGAGGAAACCAGUGGUGCUUGUUAUACUAAAUUUUAAACUGAAUCAACGUAAUUAAAUUCUAGUUACUUGAUUCUUUCGGUUACCAAAUAUGUAAGAUAUUUCCCAAUUUAUGGUUUGUAGCAGCUGAUGAAUGUGUAUCGGUAAUUAAGCUAAAACGUGAAAAAGGUGUUAAUAAACAUAGCCAGGUUUUUUGUGUAAGUUGUAAGCAAUUAUUUCUAAUUGAUAGAUGGCUCUUCCUAUAACUGCCUUUUCUAGUAUUGCUCUGGCUCUGUGCACCGUCUAUAAUGCCACACAGUAUUACCAAAUUCCAAAACAAUAAAAAAAAAACAAUUUUUCAGUGAAAGCAUACAAUAGUCAUGAACGAAAUUGGGGCAUUGACCAUUUAAACCAGUUUGCAUCGGUAUUAUUUGUUAU